AAUGUUUAUAAAUUAUUUUGCCAAAAAGUUACAGGAUCCGGAUGUACAGAAAUACUGAGUUUUUUAAUGAUUUAAAGGCAUAUUGUAUUCCAAAACUAUUCUACUUUACGUGAGUGAGGCCCUACAGUGCCAUGGGACCUGUGGUACAGACAUUUUGACACCCAGGGUGCUACAAUCUAUUAGUGAUCACUAUGUUGUUGCAAUAUUUUAUGUAUGUGCCUUACCGCAAAACCAUGAAACUAGAGAUUAAACUAACAUUAACCUAUUAUUUUUUACUUUAUAACAGUCAAAAUUAAAUUUAUAACCACAAUAUGUGUAAAUAAUGCCCAAAAUUAAACUUAAAUAAACAUAUUGCGGAAACAACAUAUGUGCCUACCUAUCGUCUUGUUUUAGGUGUGUCGUUUACUUGAGAUAACAUUUUAAAAUAUCGUAGGUGUAGCUUUCAAUGUUUGUCUAACUCAAAUAAAUGUACCUUUUCAACAAAG
Non-coding RNA from Ciona intestinalis (vase tunicate), 485 nucleotides. NCBI's taxonomy places the organism in Eukaryota, Metazoa, Chordata, Ascidiacea, Phlebobranchia, Cionidae. The record is from RefSeq and is a predicted model, not a curated record.